Chiloscyllium plagiosum (whitespotted bambooshark) is the source of this 343-nucleotide non-coding RNA. The record is from RefSeq and is a predicted model, not a curated record. NCBI's taxonomy places the organism in Eukaryota, Metazoa, Chordata, Chondrichthyes, Orectolobiformes, Hemiscylliidae.
GGCCUCUCUUGCCUUCUUCACCAGCCGGGCCAGGAGCACCUUGAGGACCAGCAGGACCCUAAAGGAAGCAUCAGGAAAAGGCCUCGGAUAUCCAAACUAGUCUGAUACUGACCCUGUGACCUUUGACACCUGGAAGACCUGGAGUUCCUGGGAAACCACGAGCACCCUGGGAAAAUAAAGGAGAAAAGGUGACUGAGCUCAAUAAGCAACACAAUCAAGAGGAAACGCCACACCCUUGUGUUUUCUGUGGCUAAAAGCAUCAUGCAAGUAUGAAAACUGGAGUUUUUUUGGUAAUAUAAAUGGACUGUCUGCACUUGAGCUCCUUGCUACUUAUGGGAAUUAU